UUGGUGUUUCAUUUUUGUUUUGUGUUGUUCUUGCAUGUUUGUUAAUAAAUCUCUGUUAGUUUAAUUUAGAAUUUUUGUUUAGGUUUCCUCAUAUCUUGUUCCUUUGUUUAUGUCAUUUCUAAAUUGUCACUGAUGAUCUGCUAUGAAUGAUUCCUUAUUUCAUUUCGGGUGACUGUGACCUCUGCAUUUCUGAGUUAUGAUUUGGUUCGUUCUGUGUAAUCCAUGAACACAUGUUUGAGUGAUUUAAAUUGAAUAUUUGAGGACCAAUUUAAGUUAUUAGUAUAUAACUGUUUCCAUCUGGCAUUUCAUGUUAUUGCCAAUUGUUUCAAUUAAUUUUCUCCUAUUGAUGCGCUGAGCUUUAGAACUUUUAUUGAUCAGACUUAAAUUAGGUUUAGCACAAGUUGGAGAGUUUUGAUUGAAUUUUAGGAUUGAUUGGAUACGUUUGAGUAUUUAGUUUACAUAUGGUCACUUCUAACUAGGGUUAAAGAGGGUUUGGGGUUAGUUUACUGCUCAUUCUUGAUAAAUUCAUAUGGGAUGAACAGUAGUUUAGGCAUUUGAGGUUUAGGAAAUCUUUUAUAACAAAUUAAGAAGCUUCUAGUAGGGACCUCUAGUGAAAUUUCAGUUGAUUAAGUGGUAAAAUUUGGUAAACAAGUCAGAAGUCUGAGGUAACUUAGGCUAAAAGCAAAUAAAUAAAGGACUAACUGUCAAAAAAGUGAAAAUUAGGAAGGACUAAAGGUCACAAUAAAAGCUGAAACUUUUCCCUAGCUUACUUGCCUAUAAAGGCAUAUAUAUCAUGACUAAAAUAGUGGAGAGACCCUCUAAAAUCCUUCUGAAUUAGUUCCCAAUAAGAGAGCAACAAAUAGUAGGUCUGAUUCUAGGAAAUCUGGUAAAAACUUGGAAAAACACGAAAGACAAAAGAAUGCAAAGAUUUCUGUUUGAUAGCAUCAACCAUUGUGAACUCAUCCUGGAAGCAUUUUGUAUUAAAGCUGUGUAGAUCCUGGUCUUAAUUUUGAGAAAAUUCCUUGUUCGUUUCUAGGUUUCGAGCUUCAUUUAUUGUUGAAUCUGUUGGUGGAUUUGUUGUUGUUAUUAUCUCUUGUUUACCUACUCAUAGGUGCUUCCUCUUUGCUGUAAUUCCAGGUACACACACAUGAACUUGAUCUGAUGUAGCCAUGGUAAAAAAUGAAAUGAUAAACACUCCAGCAUUUGUUCUUUGAGCUGAACCUGUUGGCUAAUUAUAGGUUUCGAGCUUGAUUUAUUGUUGAAUCUGUUGGUGGAUUUGUUGUUGUUAUUAUCUCUUGUUUACCUACUCAUAGGUGCUUCCUCUUUGCUGUAAUUCCAGGUACACACACAUGAACUUGAUCUGAUGUAGCCAUGGUAAAAAAUGAAAUGAUAAACACUCCAGCAUUUGUUCUUUGAGCUGAACCUGUUGGCUAAUUAUAGUUUAGAAACAAUCUUAAUUGAUUUGUAAUGUCC
RNAcentral lists this long non-coding RNA (1473 nucleotides) under Nicotiana benthamiana. RNAcentral's name for it is "long non-coding RNA (NBEN_LNC035610)". The record is from RNAcentral. Lineage: Eukaryota; Viridiplantae; Streptophyta; Magnoliopsida; Solanales; Solanaceae.